UUCGGGUUGGUGAGUUUCGGUUUUUGGUUGCCGUGAGUUUGAGUUGUAUUUUCGUCGGUUCUUGAGUUUCCGUGACUUGUGAUUCCUAGUUAUUGGACUUUCAGUUUCUCGGGUAAUCAGUGAAGCUAAUUCCGGAGAAUCUAUUCUUUUCUUUCACUGGUGACGAGAUUGAUAGAGAUCAUUUUCAAGACUUAGAUAAUACGCUGCAGG
This is a long non-coding RNA of Juglans regia (Persian walnut), 210 nucleotides long. RefSeq lists it as uncharacterized. The transcript is spliced from 3 exons. NCBI's taxonomy places the organism in Eukaryota, Viridiplantae, Streptophyta, Magnoliopsida, Fagales, Juglandaceae. The record is from RefSeq and is a predicted model, not a curated record.